RNAcentral lists this unclassified non-coding RNA (312 nucleotides) under uncultured fungus. Its description in RNAcentral is "sequence contains ITS2". The stretch from base 1 to 52 matches the Rfam family "5.8S ribosomal RNA", at positions 103 to 154 of the family's 154-position model. Lineage: Eukaryota; Fungi. The record is from RNAcentral.
AACGCACCUUGCGCCCUUUGGUAUUCCGAAGGGCAUGCCUGUUUGAGUGUCAUUAAAUUCUCAACUUCAAAAGUUUAUUCUUUUUGAAGCUUGGAUAUUGGAGGACUUCUGCAGGCAAUUCAAUGCCAGCUCCUCUUAAAUGCAUUAGCGGAACUUUGCACAGUUCAGGCUCUGGUUUGAUAAUACUAUCUAUACCAUUAAUAGCUUGAAAAGUGAUCUGUUUGGCUUCUAAUGGUCCAUUGUGGACUGUCUCUUUGGAGGCAUUAUCUUUGACUUGACCUCAAAUCAGGUAGGAUUACCCGCUGAACUUAA